RNAcentral lists this transfer RNA (68 nucleotides) under Marmota monax (woodchuck). RNAcentral describes it as "tRNA.Ala". The record is from RNAcentral. Lineage: Eukaryota; Metazoa; Chordata; Mammalia; Rodentia; Sciuridae.
GUUGUGGCUCAGUGGUAGAGUGCUUGCCUAGCACGUGUGAGGUACUGGGUUCAACCCUAAGCAUCACA